This 653-nucleotide ribosomal RNA is filed under the name Scleroderma bovista. RNAcentral describes it as "eukaryotic LSU rRNA". The stretch from base 236 to 390 matches the Rfam family "5.8S ribosomal RNA". Lineage: Eukaryota; Fungi; Basidiomycota; Agaricomycetes; Boletales; Sclerodermataceae. The record is from RNAcentral.
CUUGGUCAUUUAGAGGAAGUAAAAGUCGUAACAAGGUUUCCGUAGGUGAACCUGCGGAAGGAUCAUUAUCGAGAUCGAACCUCUGGGAGGGGGAGGGCUUCCCCGAACCCUUUCGAGGCUUCAGCCCUCUGACACCUGUGUGCACCCGCUGUAGGUCCUUAGGGACCUAUGUCUUCUUCCAACUCGCAUGUCUACAGAACGUCGUCCGUGACCUCGGUCACAGGAAACCUAAUACAACUUUCAGCAAUGGAUCUCUUGGCUCUCGCAUCGAUGAAGGACGCAGCGAAUCGCGAUAAGUAAUGUGAAUUGCAGAUUUUCCGUGAAUCAUCGAAUCUUUGAACGCACCUUGCGCUCCUUGGUAUUCCGAGGAGCAUGCCUGUUUGAGUGUCAUCGAAACAUCAGAUCGAAGCUUUCGACCUCGUCGGAGCUCGGUUUGGACUUGUGGGAGUCUGCGGGCGAACCUCCCGUCGGGGGGGACGUCGGCUCUCCUCAAAAGCAUUAGUGUUGGGUGCGAGCCUCGCGUGGCACGGCCUCUUCGACGUCAUAAUGACCGUCGUGGGCUGGAAGUGCGUGGAUCGUAGAUGCCCGUCGCUCUCCAACUCUGCGAGCCCGGUCCGUCCGGCCGCGUGUUAUCGAAGCUGACCUCAAAUCAG